This 2477-nucleotide long non-coding RNA is filed under the name Pongo abelii (Sumatran orangutan). Its description in RNAcentral is "lincRNA". The record is from RNAcentral. Lineage: Eukaryota; Metazoa; Chordata; Mammalia; Primates; Hominidae.
GCGGGGCCAGACGCAGCCGAGUAUCUUUAGGAGGACUUUAAAGCGUUCAGGGAUUUUAGGUGCCGCUGUGGAGUUCCGUGGCUGUUCUUCCACUGGAGGGCGCAGUAGUUCCUUAAGAGGGAAUGGUGCGGCGAAUAGCUGUGAGUUCAAAGUCCUGACUACAGAGUUUUGCUCUUGUUGCCCAGGCUGGAGUGCAAUGGCGCGAUCUCGGCUCACCACAACCUCUGCUUCCUGGGUUCAAGCGAUUCUCCUGCCUCAGCCUCCUGAGUAGCUGGGAUUACAGGCAUGUGCCACCAAGCCCAGACAGAAUUUCGCCCUAUCACCCAGGCUGUAGUGCUGUGGUGUAAUCUCGGCUCACCACAACCUCCGCCUCCUAGGUUCAAGCCAUUCUCCUGCUUCAGCUUCCUGAGUAGCUGUGACUACAGGCGUGCACCACCACACCUGGCUAAUUUUUGUAUUUUUAGUAGAGACGGGGUUUCACCACAUUGGCCAGGCUGGUCUUGAACUCCUGACCUCAAGUGAUUCACCCGCCUGGGCCUUCCAAAGUGCUGGGAUUACAGGCGUGAGCCACUGUGCCCGACCAUAACUCUAACAUUUUAUCAUCAAGAAAUGCUUGCUAUAUGUAUACAUACAUUAGAUUCACAGCCUGCAUAAGAGUUUGUGUGAUUUCUUACUUAGUAAAUACUGAGUGGUAAGGACAAUUCCAAAUUCAUCCCAUGAAAGUUAAUAGGGAAUUCCUAGCAGGUCACACAGGUCAGAUAGAAAAUCUGUCCUUCAUGAAACGCUGAGGACGUGCAAUUCCAAUUAAACCCACUCAAUCUGGAGAAAGAAAUCAAAGGGAGGGGGUGGGCCUGGAAAGAGUACAUCUUAUCUUCAGGUACUGUUUGUUUGAUUUUUUUAAUACUUGGGGUUUGUUUCUGGGAAGAAUUCUUGACCUGGCAAAAAUUCAUAGUAAUUACUCAGGGGAAAGGAAAAAGAAGAAACAAACAAACAAAAAAUACAUUAAUGUGGAUGGAAAAAAAAUCUAAGAACAUGGUGUUGGUGGGAGAGAAGACUAAAGGUUUGUGAAAGACCCACCCAAGUGCUUUUGAUGUUUGACCAAUUAUUAUCUUAUUGUUCUUCCUGCUAUAGAUACAGCUGCAAUUUAUGUAACAGGAUGUUUAAAAAGAUUAAAGAGAAUCUGUAGUAGGGUUCUGAGAUGAUAAGAGUCCCUAGAAUAUGCAUUUAUGGACGUUUAGAAUAUAAGUUCCUGUACAUUCUUAGAAUAAACCAUCUAUUUGUUUCCUUUUUUAAAAAAGAAACAAGCAAAAUUUGUAUUUCAGUAUGGCUGCUUCCUUCCAGCAAGUGAUAUGGAAUAACAGACAAAGACAGCAAACAAAUAACAGAGCAAAGACAAGUUGGUGGUGGUUCAAACUGUGGCCCAUGCUGGUUCUUAAUUAGCUUUGAGCUUUGAAUCUAAAAUGUUUUAACUCUACAUUAUACACAUGUUUGGAAUUUAUUUGGAUUAAACCUGUUCAUCAGAAAAUGGAUUAUUCUAUGAUACAAGCAGGAUCAUUGUGUGAAAUUUAUGAUUGCAAUCACCCAAUGUGAAGAUGAAAGUUUAAACGUUUUUUUGCUAGAGGAGUUUUCAAAAAAAAAAAAAAAAAGUGUUCUAUAGAUGUCCCCAACAUACAGAGUGACUUACUGGCAUUUAAGUCUUUCUGCCAUGUGGAGUGCUAUCUUAAAUGAUAAAUUGGCACUGGGCACUUGAUAAAAGGGCAUUGGGGCAUAUUCUCCAAGUUUCUGGUGUUAGUCAUGAAUUAAUUGCUUGUUAACUUUAAUUCUUCUAGCAACCUAGGCUAAUAUCUACUGCUUACUUGCUCUCUCUCUCUCACUGUAUUUCUGUGCAUGUGUAUGUGUGUAAUUUUCUUCUGAACUUGUUUCUGUUUGAUAAUAAGUUACAGACAUGAUGCCCCUUUCCUUUAAGCACUUCAGUGUAUAUUUUCUUUUCUUUGUUUUUUUUUGUUUUUUUUGUUUUUUUUUUUUUUUUUGAGACAGAGUUUUGCUCUGUCGCCCAGGCAGGAGUGCGGUGGCAUGAUCUCGACUCACUGCAACCUCUGCCUCCUGGAUUCCAGCUAUUCUCCUGCCUCAGCCUCCGGGUAGCUGGGACUACAUGUGCAUGCCACCAUGCCCAGCUAAUUUUGAAUUUUUAGUAGAGAGAGGGUUUCACCAUGUUGGCCAGGCUGGUCUCAAACUCCUGACCUCGUGAUCUGCCUGCCUUGGCCUCCCAAAGUGCUGGGAUUACAGGAGUGAGCCAUCACGCCCUGCCAGUGUAUAUUUUCUAAAAACAAGGAUAUUCUCUUUCAUAACCACAAUUAUAAAAGUUAAGAAAUCAAUAUUGAUUCAAUAAUAUUUUCUAACCUACAGACCUCAUUUGAAUUUGCUCAAAUGUUCCAAUAAUGUCCAUUAUGGUAAAAUAAAUUCUAUAUCAUACAUUG